UGCAAGUCGAACGNGACCUUCGGGUCUAGUGGCGCACGGGUGCGUAACGCGUGGGAACCUGCCUUUAGGUCGGAAUAACUCAGAGAAAUUUGAGCUAAUACCGGAUAAUGUCUUCGGACCAAAGAUUUAUCGCCUUUAGAUGGGCCCGCGUUGGAUUAGCUAGUUGGUGGGGUAAAGGCCUACCAAGGCGACGAUCCAUAGCUGGUCUGAGAGGAUGAUCAGCCACACUGGGACUGAGACACGGCCCAGACUCCUACGGGAGGCAGCAGUGGGGAAUAUUGGACAAUGGGCGAAAGCCUGAUCCAGCAAUGCCGCGUGAGUGAUGAAGGCCUUAGGGUUGUAAAGCUCUUUUACCCGAGAUGAUAAUGACAGUAUCGGGAGAAUAAGCUCCGGCUAACUCCGUG
RNAcentral lists this ribosomal RNA (404 nucleotides) under uncultured bacterium. Its description in RNAcentral is "bacterial SSU rRNA". It matches the Rfam family "Bacterial small subunit ribosomal RNA", at positions 56 to 507 of the family's 1533-position model. The record is from RNAcentral.